Long non-coding RNA from Arachis stenosperma, 1123 nucleotides. RefSeq lists it as uncharacterized. The transcript is spliced from 3 exons. Lineage: Eukaryota; Viridiplantae; Streptophyta; Magnoliopsida; Fabales; Fabaceae. The record is from RefSeq and is a predicted model, not a curated record.
UUUUGCGCGUUCCUUCAUUUUUACUGCUUGCUCUAGCAGAGUUUUUUUCUGUAACUUGAUCACCAUUACUAGCUCUGGAAGAAGAGAGAAGUUCUUGAAAACUCCAAAAACCGUGUGAGAGGCACAAUGUCUGAGUCGUUCUUCACUGUUGGUGGAAGGGAGCUUCACGUAGUGGCUUCAAAACGACGACGCAGAGACGAUAAGUUCAUAGCUUGGUUUGAGUUGAUAAUAGCAAAUGGAUACUAUGCACAUCGAGCUAGUGAUUCACCACAGAGGGAAGUUUCAGAGAGAACGAGAUGGCAAGAUGGUGUUUGAGGGAGGUGUGGUAACGAAAGUUGAAAGGGUUAACGUGGAUACGUUGAAUAAGUUUUUUUUAUCAAUGAUUUGCUGAAGGACAUUGGGUAUAAUGAGGUCUCGAAUUUUAAUUGGCUUGAACCUGGUAAGAAAAUUGACUCUGAUUUGAGAUUGCUGGGGGUGGAUUUAGACAUUGUGAAGAUGUAUGAAGCUGCUGUAGCUAAUGGGAGGAAGAUAGAUGUGUAUAAUGUGCAUUCCAUCAAUGACCCAGAGAUUGUUGAAGAUGAUGCACAAUCAACAGAAGGUUCCUCUGUCCAACCCAUACAAGCAGUGUUGCAGAAGGACAAGUAUACACAAAUCUUAGAAGCUCAGACCCAAGAAUCCCAACAGAGUGUAGAGGAAGGCAACGGAUCAAGCAAUGAUAUUAUGGUGGACCCUAAUGCACUUUGGCAAGAGACGGUUGGAGAGCCAUACAAGAACCACAUUUAUGUAAAGGAUCCUUCUUCACCAGCACACUUCGAUCCGAUCCUUUGUCUGAGGACCGCAUCCGUGACUUGUUAGCUCGCCUUGAUUAGCGCAAGUCGAUUGGUCGAGGAGGAUAGAGAGGUCAUUGCAGCGGAUGGUGAGGAUAUCCCAAGGGACCAAGAGGAGAACUGCAAGAUGUAGGAGGACAUUGCUAGACCUAGUUCCACACAGGCGGGGGGUCGUCAUCAGCACUGGUACCACCGACGCUGCAAGAUGAUCACGAUCAACAUGAGGACGAUUCUAAGGACUAUGUGGACUCGUAGGACUUUGAUGUUUUAUUGUUUAGUGCAUAUUUGUGUUUCAG